AGAGUUGAUUAUGGCUCAGGAUGAACGCUAGCUACAGGCUUAACACAUGCAAGUCGAGGGGCAGCAUGAUCGAAGCUGCUUGAUUGAUGGCGACCGGCGCACGGGUGAGUAACGCGUAUCCAACCUUCCCUAUAGUAGAGAAUAGCCCGGCGAAAGUCGGAUUAAUGCUCUAUGUUGUAUUUAGAGGACAUCUGAAGAAUACCAAAGGUUUACCGCUAUAGGAGUGGGGAUGCGUCUGAUUAGGUAGUAGGCGGGGUAACGGCCCACCUAGCCGACGAUCAGUAGGGGUUCUGAGAGGAAGGUCCCCCACAUUGGAACUGAGACACGGUCCAAACUCCUACGGGAGGCAGCAGUGAGGAAUAUUGGUCAAUGGACGGAAGUCUGAACCAGCCAAGUAGCGUGCAGGAUGACGGCCCUAUGGGUUGUAAACUGCUUUUAUAUAGGGAUAAAGUCGGGGACGUGUCCCCGUUUGUAGGUACUAUAUGAAUAAGGACCGGCUAAUUCCGUGCCAGCAGCGGC
RNAcentral lists this ribosomal RNA (519 nucleotides) under uncultured bacterium. RNAcentral's name for it is "bacterial SSU rRNA". It matches the Rfam family "Bacterial small subunit ribosomal RNA", at positions 8 to 518 of the family's 1533-position model. The record is from RNAcentral.